GACGAACCGUCCAAACGUUAUUCGGAAUCACUGGGCUUAAAGGGUGCGUAGGCUGUCCGGUAAGUUGGGUGUGAAAGCCCUCGGCUCAACCGAGGAAUUGCGCCCAAAACUGCCGGGCUCGAGGGAGAUAGAGGUGAGCGGAACUAAGGGUGGAGCGGUGAAAUGCAUUGAUAUCCUUAGGAACACCAGUAGCGAAAGCGGCUCACUGGGUCUCUUCUGACGCUGAGGCACGAAAGCUAGGGGAGCGAACGGG
RNAcentral lists this ribosomal RNA (253 nucleotides) under uncultured bacterium. Its description in RNAcentral is "partial 16S ribosomal RNA". It matches the Rfam family "Bacterial small subunit ribosomal RNA", at positions 524 to 776 of the family's 1533-position model. The record is from RNAcentral.